Dermacentor silvarum is the source of this 602-nucleotide long non-coding RNA. RefSeq lists it as uncharacterized. NCBI's taxonomy places the organism in Eukaryota, Metazoa, Arthropoda, Arachnida, Ixodida, Ixodidae. The transcript is spliced from 3 exons. The record is from RefSeq and is a predicted model, not a curated record.
UCCCACCCUUUCUGUUUCGGCAGCAGCCUCAUCAGAAUGCUCGGACGGCUAUGUGCAAUCGUCGCUUUUGUUUGUCCUCCUUCCUUUACUUCUGUAUUCUCUUUUGUAGAAACAGACGCUGUCCAGACAACCGAGCUUUUGUUCACCCAUACCGUUUCAACCACUGCAUUAUUCUUCGUCAUUGCGAAAAUGUAUUUACGUAGCAGUCCGCUAAAUAAGCAUUCAGUCAUCAGAAGCCAUCGCAUCGGAGGGCGACGAGGGCACUCUUGCAAUUUUUAAGGGCAACAGACUUGGACAAGUGGCUUUAGCCUGAACAGAUGUUUAUUGGUCUGCAAGUGCUACUGCGCUGUGCGGAACACAAGUAUGGAGUCAACAACGGCCACAAGCUCUGCUUCGAGUGCCAUGUGUACAGGACGCUGUAUCCUCAAUCAAAAUGGAUCGUUUUCUGGAUGUCCGGUUGACGGUAACUGCACGUGUACCGACGUUGACCGUACAAAUAGUUGGCCAAAGAACGGUACCUGCAGAGACAAGACUACCUUAUCUGGACAGCCACUGAAGUUCACAAUGCUGGAAGACAAAACCAAACAAUAAAGGUGGUUUUU